Molecule: long non-coding RNA, 370 nt
Filed under: Heterocephalus glaber (naked mole-rat)
Lineage: Eukaryota; Metazoa; Chordata; Mammalia; Rodentia; Bathyergidae
Description: lncRNA (ENSHGLG00000044248.1)
Source: RNAcentral
AUUAUGUACCCCAUGGUGACCUUGAACUCAUGGUGAUCCUCCUGUCUUAGCCUCCUGAGUACUGGGAUUACAGGGGAAGGCCUAUUAACCACUCCACUAAAAGGAACAAAACAAAACAAAAAAACUAAAACAGAAAAAUUGUGUGAAGAAUUUUAUUUUUAAACUACCUAGACUCGCAGAUUUUGUCUUUGGACCAGUGCUCCUCAACAUAAAACAAAUGUUUGCAGUGGACACCAUUUGGGGAACACAGGAAAACUGAAGAGAAUCCAAUAAUAUUUUCAGGGUGCGCAGAGAAGCUUUCAGAAGAAUUUGAGUAUAAGAAUAAGAUAUUAACAUUAGUCUACUUUGGUGUAAUACAAGCAGAUAUGAA